GCGCGCAUGCGCCGGGGAGGCCCGCCGCGCAGGCCGUUUGGCUGGGCCCUGGCCGCGCAGCACCUCGCGGAGUCGGGAGGCGGGUGGGAGUGCGCCGGAGAGACGAGCCGCUCGCCACGCGCCGGCUUCGUGCUGGGCGCCCUCGGGGACUCCGGAGGAGACCCCGCCUUCCAGGCCCGCGCCUCCCUUCGGAGCGGCGAGACCCGCGUCCCGUGCCCGCCCUGCCUCAGUUUCCCCAUUUGUAGGGUGGGAGCUCACAGCCCUCCCUAGAGGCCAGAAGGGGCCGGAAGGCGGGGAGCAGGGCGGCUCCGUGGUGGGAGUGGUGGGACGAGGACGCGAAGAUGCCCGGGAGGUGCCAGAUCUGGGCCAUGGGCCAGAAGAUGCUAUGUGCUGCCCUCACAGAGCAGGAACUUGAAGUAAGGAAUUGGGAGCCUGCUCAAGAGAAUGGGCUAACCAGGAUGGCCCGACCUGAACCCGCGAGAACACAAGCUCAAGGGAGCACAGACAGCCCGUUGUGUUUAUCGCUGCCUCCCGGGUGCUCAGAACAAUCCCGAUACCUAGGACCAGUCAAUAACUAGGUGUCGAAUGAAUGAACAAGGGGCACGUGGUGUAUUUGGGUAAGCAAUAAAUAAGGCCGAUGUAAA
This is a non-coding RNA of Equus caballus (horse), 644 nucleotides long. Lineage: Eukaryota; Metazoa; Chordata; Mammalia; Perissodactyla; Equidae. The record is from RefSeq and is a predicted model, not a curated record.